CCUAAUGGGUGACGCGGAGGGAUCAUUACCGAGUUUACAACUCCCAAACCCAAUGUGAACCAUACCAAACUGUUGCCUCGGCGGGGUCACGCCCCGGGUGCGUCGCAGCCCCGGAACCAGGCGCCCGCCGGAGGGACCAACCAAACUCUUUCUGUAGUCCCCUCGCGGACGUUAUUUCUUACAGCUCUGAGCAAAAAUUCAAAAUGAAUCAAAACUUUCAACAACGGAUCUCUUGGUUCUGGCAUCGAUGAAGAACGCAGCGAAAUGCGAUAAGUAAUGUGAAUUGCAGAAUUCAGUGAAUCAUCGAAUCUUUGAACGCACAUUGCGCCCGCCAGUAUUCUGGCGGGCAUGCCUGUCCGAGCGUCAUUUCAACCCUCGAACCCCUCCGGGGGGUCGGCGUUGGGGAUCGGGAACCCCUAAGACGGGAUCCCGGCCCCGAAAUACAGUGGCGGUCUCGCCGCAGCCUCUCAUGCGCAGUAGUUUGCACAACUCGCACCGGGAGCGCGGCGCGUCCACGUCCGUAAAACACCCAACUUCUGAAAUGUUGACCUCGGAUCAGGUAGGAAUACCCGCUGAACUUAAGCAUAUCAUUAGCCCGAAGAACAA
RNAcentral lists this ribosomal RNA (606 nucleotides) under Trichoderma sp. C23. Its description in RNAcentral is "eukaryotic LSU rRNA". The stretch from base 213 to 366 matches the Rfam family "5.8S ribosomal RNA". The record is from RNAcentral. Lineage: Eukaryota; Fungi; Ascomycota; Sordariomycetes; Hypocreales; Hypocreaceae.